RNAcentral lists this long non-coding RNA (5286 nucleotides) under Homo sapiens (human). Its description in RNAcentral is "HSALNT0367043". The record is from RNAcentral. Lineage: Eukaryota; Metazoa; Chordata; Mammalia; Primates; Hominidae.
CAAAACGCACCGGAUUCGCGCCCUCCCCGGAGUUCUGGCCAGGAGGCUCUGGCUGGAUUCCAGUUGUUACAGAGCUCGCUGGAGACUUCCUUCUCCCUGUGGCAUUUUCCCCGCUCCUCUGGCCGCCGAAGGAGUCCUGUGGUGCCGGGCAGGAAUGGGCUGCUUGGGGACCCAACGAGCUCCCAGAGCCUUUCCUGCUGCUUCCUCUACCCCUGUGUUUCGCUAGGCUCUCGAGAUGGACUCAGUUCCAGAUUGCCCAGCCUCACAUAUUCCUUCAUAGCAACACAAAGGGACUGAGACAAUAUAUAAGUUAACAUCUGCCAUGUAGUGGAGGUUCCAGAGAAAAAGUGAGAGAAGCUGAGUCUGCACCCUCAACAUGGAGGAAAUAAGCUCUCUUAGGACCAAGAACAGAGGACAGAGGAAGGACUCCAGCAUGAUGGGCACCAAGGGAUUUUGGUCCUUCUGAGAAAGAGGAGAGACAGGGUCUUCCUCUUUGCCUAAGCUGGAGCGCAUUGGUGUGAUCAUCGCUCACUGCUGCCUCAAACUCCUGGGCUCAUGCGACCCUCCCACCUCAGCCUCCUGACUAGUUGGGACUACAGAAUUGGUUCCUUCCAGUGAGUUCUUGGUCUCGCUGACUUCAAGAAUGAAGCCACAGACCUGUGCGAUGAGUGUUACAGCUCUUAAAGAUGGUGUGUCCAGAGUUUGUUCCUUCAGAUGUUCAGAUGUGUCCGGAGUUUCUUCCUUCUGGUGGGUUUGUCCUCUCGCUAACUUCCAAGAAUGAAGCCGUGGACGUUCACAGUCAAGAUCUAAGCAAACACACAAAUGUGAACAACAGGGAAAGAACCCAUUGACCUACCAAGACAGGCUGCCAACAGAAUUUUGAAGGCUUGCCAAGAUGCUUUUAUGGAGGUAGAGUGAAUGAGAUUCCGUAAGUGCAAAAUAAUCCUUUUAAGACUACCCAGAAAGUAAUAUAAGUGAACUAGUUAUAUAAGAUUCAGUGAGGACUACCAAAACAUUGGGAAGAAAUGUGGAUUUUAUCAUUCAAGGAAAUAUAAUUUUAUUGUAAGAUAUAAUCUUUGUUUUUGUAGUCAAAUAGAAACAUUCAUGCCUUAAUACAACGUUUGGUAAAAAGAACUGAAGAAGACACCAUAGAAGAUUUUAACAAACAAUGAACUCAUUAGCUAAAAGAUUUGUCAUGAAAUAAUGAUUGAUUUAGUUGUUUUCUAAAAUAUUUCUAGUGCCUAUUAGAUGUUGAAGGAGACUUUGAUCAUGAAGUGUGUUCUCUGAGGAGCUGCUAUUUUUAUUUUUAUAUUUGUUUGAAGUGAAUUGUCCUGCUAAUUCUUUAACAUAAAAUAUCUUCAAUUACAUGAUUCAACAUUUUAAAAAGUGAUUAAGACAGAAGAAUAUGUGCUGGGAUUUAUUUUUGGAUCUUUGAAGUAGCAAAGAGUAGCAGAACUCCUUAAUCCAUAGAGUGGUUAUUUUGCUGUAUGAUGACUCUUGUAUUUACUCCCUGAAUUACCCUUUCCACUAAAAAGUAUUAAUGAGACAUUAGUAGGCUAUAGAAAAAAAUACUUCUGAUCUACUUAGAAAUAUUCAUGAGGUUUUCUCCUGGUGGAUUCACAUCAAAUUUUAUUUUUUAAAACCCCAAGUAUUUUUAUUUGAUGAUUAAUAAGUAAGAUGGAGGCUGGUAGGUGGAAAUCGCCAGCAGGAAAAUAAAAUGCUUUGGCUAAGCCGACAACUGCUACUGUCCUCCUCUGUACAGACUCUCCUGCUGAAGACUCACGGAGGCUUAUUUCAAGUCUUCUUUAGUUCAUUACCUGCAUGUUCAAAUGGAGCUGGUACUGUGACUCACAGCUUUCUGUCCAAGAAUGCGAUUUGUACCUCUACAAAUCUUCUACACCUUCUUCAUCUAGUAAACACUUACUCUACAGGUCUCAUCUCAAAUCUAUUACUAUAUGCAACUAUAGUACAUAAGCAAGCCAUUUAAAAAUGUUAAAGGAAGAUAUGCAUUGAUAUGGGUUGGCUGUUUUCCCACCCAAAUCUCAUCUUGAAUCGUAGCUCCCAUAAUCCACACGUGUCAUGGGAGGGACCCAAUGGAAGGUAAUUAAAUAAUCGGGGUGGGUUUUUCCCAUGCUGCUCUCAUGAUAGUAAAUAAGUCUCAUGAAAUCUGAUGGUUUCAUAAUAUAAAGGGCAGUUCCCCUGCACAUGCUCUCUUGCCUGCCACCAUGUAAGAUGGGCCUUUGCUCCUCCUUUGCCUUCUGCCAUGAUUGUGAGGCCUCUCCAGCCAUGUGGAACUGUAAGUCCAUUAAAUCUCUUUUUCUUUAUAAAUUACCCAGUCUUGGAUAUCUCUUCAUAGGAGUGUGAAAAUGGACUAAUAGAUACAUAUAGGUACACAUACAUGUAUACAUAAAGCCAUUCCAAAAGACUUUGCUUCCUGAAGUUUGUAAAUGUAAACAAAUUUAUUGUACCAUCAUUUAGGUUACUACGUUGCUCACUAACAUAGAAACAAUAUCUAAAAUGGGUACUUAUAGGGUUAUUAAAAUAUAGUAUGAAUAUGGCUACUGGAAAAAAGUCAAAGAUAUAUUUUGAGGCCACUACUCUACGUCUCUUGAUGUUCUCUUGUACACAUUUGAUAUUGCACAAAAGCCAAAAGUUUGGACUCCUUUGAUUAAAGGCAAGGUCAAGUAAUCCUGCUGGUUCUACCUCUCCUCCCAUUUCUUAAAUGAAAGGAUGUAGUCAUAUAAGGUGCUGUUUAGUAAAAUGGUGCCGUGAAUUCAGCAUGAAAUGUCUGGGCAAGUGUUUUUCAAGUUGUCACAUAUAUACUAUAUUUAUCUUCCUCCUUUUCCCUCCUCAACCUCAGUCCCCAUCACCCAGUGUUUCAUAAGGUUUUACUUUCUGUAGCUUAUACUGUAAAACCAGGAGUUCCCUUCCUCCUCUCCCAAAUAUAACCUUUUCUAAUAAUAUUAAUUGCACUUUCCCUAACUAUACAUACCUCCCUGGAGAUUUUGAACUGUAAUUCUUUCUCUCCUCCAUUUUCCUUGAGCAUUUUUCAUCUAGUGGAAUAUUCGGUGGCAAAGCUCUCAUUCUGGAAGAAGUUUAGCCAUGUAAGCAUAGAAGAAAUAAGCCAACAAUGGUAAACAUAGUUAAUGCAUGUAGUUAAGUCUUCUAAACAUGUCACUUGAAUGAUGUCACAUUUUGCUUUUUCAAACUAGGAAUCAACAAAAUGGAGGAACAUUUGAGGUUUGUUAAGAAAUUUCCCUUCUUAGCCAUAGAACUAAGAUAUUUUUAAAUAAAGAAGAUCAUAGUGGGCCAUAAAUGAUGUGCCUUUCUAGGAUCCCAAAAUGUUUUAUUGAUUGAAUUAUAUAGAGAGAUUUAAUGGAACCGUGGUUGAAAAAUGCUUUUAAAGUCUUUGAUCACUGGGAUAUCAAUGGAACAAAUGGGUUAAAACAUUUUCAGAAUUUAAUCAUUUAUCUAGGUAACAGGGUUGGGGGUAAAUGGCGGGAGAGAAGGGGAGGGCCGGGGCAUUAAUGAAUAGUACUCCAUGUAAAAAGAAGAAUUGACUAGUAACAUCUGUACUAUUUAAAUUAACAGGCUGGCAUAUAUUGUUGUGCAGGUUUUGCAUUGCCCAAUUCUUGGGGGGGGCGGCAUUCACAUUUGUAGUCAUUAUGGGUUCCUCUAUUUAUAAUGCCAAUUUUCUAGCAGAUGUUGGUUUAUUGCCUUGAGAAACUGUUAGAUUCCUCUAAUUUUUGCAAAGAUGGCUUUGGGAAGUUGAAAGAUUACCUGAUUACUAUUAGAGAAUCCUGCUACCAAUACAUACUUGUCUUGUAUAAUUUGGGCAAAAUAUAAUAUUCCUGAAUCUUAGAUUCCUUGUUUGUAAAAUGUUUAAAAUAUAUCUAAAUGUAAGAAUUGUUGUAGCAUAUAUAUGUGAGUACAUGAAUGUGGCCGUCACAGCAGCUGUAAGUGGAAGAUAUUAUAAAUAUUGUUAAAACCUUCUGAUGUUUUAUUUUAAGCUGAUAGUUUUUCUUUAUGCUGACUUUACAGUGAGUUUUAAACAUACACUUGAGUUUAUCAUUUGUAUAUAACUACUGAUAGAAAUCUGAUGAAAAACACUAAUAGUAGUUUAUAAAAGAUUUUUUUCAAUAUGAACUUUUUGUUUCCAUUGUGAGAAAUUAAAUUUCAAAAUGUAAUUAUUAAAUGUAUGCCUGACUUUCAAAUGUUUUUCUAUAUCCAGCUAAUUAAAAAUAUUUAUAACGUAGUAGUAGUUAAAUGUCAUGUUCGCCUUAUUAGAAAGAAUGCCUUCAAAUCAGUAUUAUCAUGAUUACCAUUUAUUUAACAUCUUCAGUAUGCAGGGCAUUUAUAAAAUCUGUAGAAAUUAAUUUUCUCUAAAUGCAACAAGCUUUAUGACCAGCACUCACUGUCUAUAAAAGAUGACUUGCUUGGCAGAAGAGGAAACAGUUUCUUCAGACCUUCCAGCCACAGUCAGCCCUGGUGACAUUGCAUAUCAGCUUCUAAAGGGCCUCGCACAUUCCUUGGCUUGUGAUGUCCCUUCCCCAUCAUCAAAGACAGCAACGUUGAGUUCCUGAUAUCAUACUGGCUUUUUUUGGGAAACUUCAGGCUACCAUACCUGCUUCAACUGUAGGAGAAUCUUAGUUCUGGAGAGUUGACCCUCCAGGCGAAGCAUUAGGCUUUGAUACAAUUUGUCUGGUACCGGCUGUAGAUCUGGUUUGGGCCCCAGACUAUCUUCCCUGUCCUCAAGAAUCAAAACCAACUUGGAAUGACUCCUGGCCCACUCAGCACCUUUCCGGAAGCCAGAAGAAUGAAGUGCCACACAUAUCAUCAGAGAGAAUUCCAAGGAAGAGGGAAUGGUCUAUAGUGUCUCAAGCCACAUUAAUCCUUCAAGAACAGUGUUAACUUUCUCAGGCUACUGGAACUCCACUUUUUGGAACUGUUAUAUUUACUGUUGGGGAGUGACUUUGGCACCAAGGAGAACUUGGCUCAAAUGAAUGGUUUUGGAUCACACAUCUUCAUGAUUUGGGAAUGAUAUGUGUGUUUAUUUUAUGAAAAAUGUUAGUAAUGAAGCAUUUAAAAUAUAUCAAAAGGAAAAUCUCCAAGAGUUGGUGAAUCAUGCUGUUGCCAAUAAUAGGCAUGUGACAUAACUGAACAUUUCAUCAUCUUCAGUAAAUAAUCAAGAUGAAUCUAAUGUCACCUUUGCAGAGAUGACAUGCUGGGUCUGUGAUCACCAGGGAUCCAAAUGCCUUCGAUCUUGGUGCUGGCUCACAAUCACCA